AUACGGAGGGUCCGAGCGUUAAUCGGAAUUACUGGGCGUAAAGCGCGCGUAGGUGGUUCAGUCAGUCAGAUGUGAAAGCCCCGGGCUCAACCUGGAAACUGCACCUGAUACUGCUGAGCUAGAGUACGGUAGAGGGCAGUGGAAUUUCCGGUGUAGCGGUGAAAUGCGUAGAGAUCGGAAGGAACACCAGUGGCGAAGGCGACUGCCUGGACUGAUACUGACACUGAGGUGCGAAAGCGUGGGUAGCAAACAGGAUUAGAUACCCUGGUAGUCCACGCCGUAAACGAUGGCAACUAGCCGUUGGGGGACUUGAUCCUUUAGUGGCGAAGCUAACGCGAUAAGUUGACCGCCUGGGGAGUACGGCCGCAAGGUUAAAACUCAAAUGAAUUGACGGGG
This 396-nucleotide ribosomal RNA is filed under the name uncultured bacterium. RNAcentral's name for it is "partial 16S ribosomal RNA". It matches the Rfam family "Bacterial small subunit ribosomal RNA", at positions 523 to 918 of the family's 1533-position model. The record is from RNAcentral.